AGGAUUAACGCUGGCGGCGUGCAUGAAACAUGCAAGUCGAGCGCGGUGUGAUGCGGGGUAACCCAAUUCACAUCUAGCGGCGAACGGGUGAGUAACACGUGAGCAACCUACCUUUGAGUUGGGGAUAGCCCUGGGAAACCAGGAUUAAUACCCGAUGUGGUCACAACAGGACAUCCUGAUGUGAGUAAAGGCGUAAGCCGCUCAAUGACGGGCUCGCGGCCUAUUAGCUUGUUGGUGGGGUAACGGCCUACCAAGGCGAUGAUGGGUAGCUGGUCUGAGAGGACGAUCAGCCACACUGGGACUGAGACACGGCCCAGACUCCUACGGGAGGCAGCAGUUAGGAAUUUUCCGCAAUGGGCGAAAGCCUGACGGAGCAACGCCGCGUGAGUGAUGAAGACCUUCGGGUUGUAAAGCUCUGUCGGAGGGGAAGAACACAAUGACGGUACCUCCAACGAAGCCCGGACUAACUACGCGCCAGCACGCCGCGGUAAC
RNAcentral lists this ribosomal RNA (492 nucleotides) under uncultured bacterium. RNAcentral describes it as "SSU rRNA". It matches the Rfam family "Bacterial small subunit ribosomal RNA", at positions 26 to 524 of the family's 1533-position model. The record is from RNAcentral.